ACUGUCUGUAUACAAAAGAGUAACAAAAGAUAC
This 33-nucleotide ribosomal RNA is filed under the name Pyropia suborbiculata. Its description in RNAcentral is "partial 5.8S ribosomal RNA". The record is from RNAcentral. Lineage: Eukaryota; Rhodophyta; Bangiophyceae; Bangiales; Bangiaceae.